Molecule: ribosomal RNA, 252 nt
Filed under: uncultured bacterium
Lineage: Bacteria
Description: partial 16S ribosomal RNA
Rfam family: Bacterial small subunit ribosomal RNA
Source: RNAcentral
UACGAAGGGGCUAGCGUUGCUCGGAAUCACUGGGCGUAAAGCGCACGUAGGCGGCUUGUUAAGUCAGGGGUGAAAUCCUGGAGCUCAACUCCAGAACUGCCUUUGAUACUGGCGAUCUUGAGUCCGGGAGAGGUGAGUGGAACUGCGAGUGUAGAGGUGAAAUUCGUAGAUAUUCGCAAGAACACCAAUGGCGAAGGCAGAUCUCUGGGCCGUAACUGACGCUGAGGAGCGAAAGCAUGGGGAGCGAACAGG